This 417-nucleotide ribosomal RNA is filed under the name Pilophorus clavatus. RNAcentral's name for it is "partial 16S ribosomal RNA". The stretch from base 291 to 417 matches the Rfam family "Bacterial large subunit ribosomal RNA", at positions 2473 to 2600 of the family's 2925-position model. RNAcentral also lists the same sequence under 1 other name. The record is from RNAcentral. Lineage: Eukaryota; Metazoa; Arthropoda; Insecta; Hemiptera; Miridae.
GUCUUUUAAUUGAAGUCUGGAAUGAAUGGUUUGAUGAAAAAUUUACUUUCUUUAUUUUAAAAAAAUAAUUUAAUUUUUUAAUUAAAAAGUUAAGAUUUUAAUAAAGGACGAGAAGACCCUAUAGAACUUUAUUUUGAUAAAAAAGAUAGUAUUUUGAUAAUGAUUUAUUGUCUUUUUUUAGGAAUUUUGUUGGGGUGAUGGAAAAAAAUAUUUAACUUUUUUUUAUUUUAUCAUUAAUGUAUGAUUUUUUUGAUCCUUUUUUAUGGAUAAUAAGAUUAAGUUACCUUAGGGAUAACAGCGUUAUUAUUUUAGAAAGUUCAUAUUGAUAAAAUAGUUUGCGACCUCGAUGUUGGAUUAAAAUAAGUUUCAGGAGCAGAAUAUUGAAAUCUAGGUCUGUUCGACCUUUAAAUUUUUACA